RNAcentral lists this ribosomal RNA (510 nucleotides) under uncultured bacterium. RNAcentral describes it as "bacterial SSU rRNA". It matches the Rfam family "Bacterial small subunit ribosomal RNA", at positions 36 to 518 of the family's 1533-position model. The record is from RNAcentral.
CUGGCGGCGUGCCUAAUACAUGCAAGUCGAACGGACUUUUCUAUGGAAGCUUGCUUCCACUGAGAAGAUAGUGGCGAACGGGCGAGUAACACGUGGGUAACCUGCCCAUAAGAGGGGGAUAACAUCCGGAAACGGGUGCUAAUACCGCAUAGUUUUCUUGAUUGCAUGAUUGAGAAGGAAAGACGGCCUUUGUGCUGUCGCUUAUGGAUGGACCCGCGGCGUAUUAGUUAGUUGGUGAGGUAACGGCUCACCAAGACGAUGAUACGUAGCCGACCUGAGAGGGUGAUCGGCCACAUUGGGACUGAGACACGGCCCAAACUCCUACGGGAGGCAGCAGUAGGGAAUCUUCCGCAAUGGACGAAAGUCUGACGGAGCAACGCCGCGUGAGUGAAGAAAAGGUUUUCGGAUCGUAAAACUCUGUUGUCAGAGAAGAACAAGUUGGAGAGUAACUGCUCCAGCCUUGACGGUAUCUGACCAGAAAGCCACGGCUAACUACGUGCCAGCCGCCGC